This 494-nucleotide ribosomal RNA is filed under the name uncultured bacterium. RNAcentral describes it as "partial 16S ribosomal RNA". It matches the Rfam family "Bacterial small subunit ribosomal RNA", at positions 28 to 507 of the family's 1533-position model. The record is from RNAcentral.
GACGAACGCUGGUGGCGUGCUUAACACAUGCAAGUCGAACGGUGAAGCGCCUUCCUUUUUGGUGGGUGUGGAUGAGUGGCGAACGGGUGAGUAACACGUGAGUAACCUGCCCCCUUCUUCUGGAUAACCGCAUGAAAGUGUGGCUAAUACGGGAUAUUCUGGGUCUGUCGCAUGAUGGGUCUGGGAAAGAUAUUGUUUCGGUGGGGGAUGGGCUCGCGGCCUAUCAGCUUGUUGGUGGGGUGAUGGCCUACCAAGGCGGUGACGGGUAGCCGGCCUGAGAGGGUGGACGGUCACACUGGGACUGAGGCACGGCCCAGACUCCUACGGGAGGCAGCAGGGGGGAAUAGUGCACAAUGGGCGCAAGCCUGAUGCAGCGACGCCGCGUGAGGGAUGGAGGCCUUCGGGUUGUGAACCUCUUUCGCCAGUGAAGCAGGCCUGCCUCGUUUGUGGGUGGGUUGACGGUAGCUGGAUAAGAAGCGCCGGCUAACUACGUG